CACGUAGGGGGCAAGCGUUGUUCGGAAUUACUGGGCGUAAAGGGCAUGUAGGCGGUUUUGUAAGCCUGGCGUGAAAGGCUGCAGCUUAACUGUAGCACUGCGCUGGGAACUGCGAGACUGGAGUCACGGAGAGGGAGCUAGAAUUCCAGGUGUAGGGGUGAAAUCUGUAGAUAUCUGGAAGAAUACCAAUGGCGAAGGCAAGCUUCUGGCCGAUGACUGACGCUGAGGUGCGAAAGCGUGGGUAGCAAACAGG
Molecule: ribosomal RNA, 253 nt
Filed under: uncultured bacterium
Lineage: Bacteria
Description: partial 16S ribosomal RNA
Rfam family: Bacterial small subunit ribosomal RNA
Source: RNAcentral